UUGAACCUUCAACACUCAGCUUAGCUCAGGCUAUUCUAGCUACAAGUGCUUCUUUUCCCUACAGUUCAAUGACAUGUGUAAAGUGUUUAUGCAGGUAGCGUGGGGUUUAAAGGGAAACUGAACGCCAAAAAUAAGUAUGGCUUAUCCGAAGGGGAAUUGGGCACUGAUUCCGAUGAGCUAUGUCUCGAGCCGAUCAGAGAAGAGGAACUGUGUCAAAUUCCAUAAAUAACACCUCCCAUAUUUGGAAAUUGGCCUUGAUGACGUGCGUACUGCUUAGCUGUCACCAUGCUGUGCAUGUUCAGCAGUGUAAUUGAAUGGAAGAAAACAAUUACUUUGGUGUUUUGCAGCUCUGUUUCGUUCCCUGACGGUAACCAAAUCUAGAUGUAGGAAUCUGUUGAGCAGGAGAGUGACACAUGUCUUCCCGAAGGCUGUCCAGGCUGCAGUGGUGAUGAAGAAGACACGAUCAUCACCCCGAGAUCAAUCGUAGCGAAUUGGAAAACUCAUGGUGAAUUUGCUUCCACGCCAAGGCAAUGUCGAGGUAUGAAGGGUGCUUGUACUGCCUUCCAAAGUGAAGAGGAGAUGAACAUGGCUUUGCAUAGCUGUUGUUCUAUGCCAACUAACUUACCUACUCUUGCUGGUGCCGUAGUGGCAUAUUGCAAAUUUCGUGGACGAACAACUCUAGUCACUAGUGGCUAGUGAGCAACACUAACAGACCAGAAUGCUUCGCUAUCAACUCCUGGCUUUCCAUCGGCAUGGUGUUCAGGUGCAGCGGCAUCUGGUCCGGGGAGUUCAAGUUGCUGGAUGGCUGCACUGACACAGGAUGGGUUUGCGUUGGCAAUGCGAUACGGCAGUCAUCCCACAUCACGAGCUACAUGUUUAUGUAAUUUAUAUUGUCGCUCGUUCAGCAACGUCAAGGCUCUGCAUGUAAACACAGGAGAACACCAUAAUACUACUCAGGGGAUAAUAAUUUUGGAUAUCAAUUUCGUGACAAUUAUUAGAUUCACACAAUAUUCACAACGUAUGCAACACGAUGCUGUCUAUUGACACUACUUCAAAUUGAAGUGCUCACUACUCCUCUCCCGUUUUUAUCUCCCUCUACCUUAUGAAUACUCUGCAUUACUGGUUUCAUUUCUACCCUUUCCAUUGCUGCCAGCUCCCAGUCUUUUUCAAUGCACAGCACCACCUUGACAGUCAUUUUUGUGAUUUGAUGUACACAUACUUUGAAGUUCAAAUUCGAAUUACAUGAUCAGAUUUUUGUUCCACAUUUUCUAUUUAUUUUUACUUCAAGCA
Molecule: long non-coding RNA, 1290 nt
Organism: Sycon ciliatum
Lineage: Eukaryota; Metazoa; Porifera; Calcarea; Leucosolenida; Sycettidae
Exons: 2
Source: RefSeq, a predicted model, not a curated record